GAUGAACGCUGGCGGCGUGCUUAACACAUGCAAGUCGAACGAAGCACUUUAACUUGAUUUCUUCGGAUUGAUUGUUAUUGUGACUGAGUGGCGGACGGGUGAGUAACGCGUGGGUAACCUGCCUCAUACAGGGGGAUAACAGUUGGAAACGGCUGCUAAUACCGCAUAAGCGCACGGUAUCGCAUGAUACAGUGCGAAAAGAUUUAUCGCUGUAAGAUGGACCCGCGUCUGAUUAGCUAGUUGGCAGGGUAACGGCCUACCAAGGCGACGAUCAGUAGCCGACCUGAGAGGGUGAUCGGCCACAUUGGGACUGAGACACGGCCCAAACUCCUACGGGAGGCAGCAGUGGGGGAUAUUGCACAAUGGAGGAAACUCUGAUGCAGCGACGCCGCGUGAGUGAAGAAGUAUUUCGGUAUGUAAAGCUCUAUCAGCAGGGAAGAUAAUGACGGUACCUGACUAAGAAGCACCGGCU
Molecule: ribosomal RNA, 472 nt
Filed under: uncultured bacterium
Lineage: Bacteria
Description: bacterial SSU rRNA
Rfam family: Bacterial small subunit ribosomal RNA
Source: RNAcentral